Molecule: RNA transcript, 2729 nt
Organism: Bubalus bubalis (water buffalo)
Lineage: Eukaryota; Metazoa; Chordata; Mammalia; Artiodactyla; Bovidae
Gene: HNRNPA2B1
Gene name: heterogeneous nuclear ribonucleoprotein A2/B1
Exons: 14
Source: RefSeq, a predicted model, not a curated record
ACAGAAUCCUUUAUUUUCCUGACGGAUUCUUUUUUAAUCGUAUAAUUUAUUUGUAUGUUAAGUAUUUUUACCGGGGAAUUUAGUCUUUACUGGGUAAAACUACGGGUGUUUUUUUAGUGAUAAACUUGAAAUUAUGAGUUUAGUAGUACUCUAAUUAAAACAUGGCUCGGUCCCUCAAUGCGUGUUCUGCUGUAUACAAAACUUUUAUUAGGCUGAGCCACUAUGUUUUUGAACUUUGUCACUUGCUUUUCUCGUUUAUGUUUGCAAUCAUGGUUGAUGAUUACAUUGAUAAGCAUAAGGUCUCAAGCGAAGGGGGUCUGCCUGGGUAUUUUCAUUGACCCUAAGCACGCUUAUAAAAUAACUUUGUUUGUAAUCGAUAGUGGACAGCGGGUAAGUUUGGAAAAUGAGGUAAGUAAUGAGUUUUUGCCUUUUGUUAGUGAUUUGUAAUGUUGUAGAUGUAUUUUAGUCUAUUUGGGUUUUAAAAGGCCAGUUUACUGACAGGUGUUUGGAAUAAAUAAAAUAUGCUUGAGUGUACAAAUACAGUAUGCCAAGUUAUCGUUUUAAUAGAUUGUUUUUUUAAGUGUUUCGUAAGCUACUUUGAGAAUUUAUUUGUCUUUUCAGAAAUGUCAGAAUCUUAAAAGUAGCUAUACAGGCAAAGAAAUCUCUGAAUUAUAACUGUUUUCUGAACUGUUGGGAGAACAUCAUGCAUGGAGAGAAACUUCAUGGAACUAUGGAAAACUUUAGAAACUGUUCCUUUGGAGAGGAAAAAGAGAGAAAAGGAACAAUUCCGUAAACUCUUUAUUGGUGGCUUGAGCUUUGAAACUACAGAAGAAAGUUUGAGGAACUACUACGAGCAAUGGGGAAAACUUACAGAUUGUGUGGUAAUGAGGGAUCCUGCAAGCAAAAGAUCAAGAGGAUUUGGUUUUGUGACUUUUUCUUCCAUGGCUGAAGUUGAUGCUGCCAUGGCUGCAAGACCUCAUUCAAUUGAUGGGAGAGUGGUUGAGCCAAAACGUGCUGUUGCAAGAGAGGAAUCUGGAAAGCCAGGGGCUCAUGUAACUGUGAAGAAGCUGUUUGUUGGUGGAAUUAAGGAAGAUACUGAGGAACAUCAUCUUAGAGAUUACUUUGAGGAAUAUGGAAAAAUUGAUACCAUUGAGAUUAUUACCGACAGGCAGUCUGGAAAGAAAAGAGGCUUUGGAUUUGUUACUUUUGAUGACCAUGAUCCUGUGGAUAAGAUUGUGUUGCAAAAAUACCAUACUAUCAAUGGUCAUAAUGCAGAAGUAAGAAAGGCUUUGUCUAGACAAGAAAUGCAGGAAGUCCAAAGUUCUAGAAGUGGAAGAGGAGGCAACUUUGGUUUUGGAGAUUCUCGUGGUGGCGGUGGAAAUUUUGGACCAGGACCAGGAAGUAACUUUAGAGGAGGAUCUGAUGGAUAUGGAAGUGGCCGUGGAUUUGGGGAUGGCUAUAAUGGGUAUGGAGGAGGACCUGGAGGUGGCAAUUUUGGAGGUAGCCCUGGUUAUGGAGGAGGAAGAGGAGGAUAUGGUGGUGGAGGACCUGGAUAUGGCAACCAGGGUGGGGGCUACGGAGGUGGUUAUGACAACUAUGGAGGAGGAAAUUACGGGAGUGGAAAUUACAAUGAUUUUGGAAAUUAUAACCAACAACCUUCUAACUAUGGUCCAAUGAAGAGUGGAAAUUUUGGUGGUAGCAGGAACAUGGGGGGACCAUAUGGUGGAGGAAACUAUGGUCCAGGAGGCAGUGGAGGAAGUGGGGGUUAUGGAGGGAGAAGCAGAUACUGAGCUUCUUCCUAUUUGCCAUGGAUCUUUUAGAUGCUGCUGCUUCAAUGCAAGGAAAGGAAAAUAACCCCAGCGAGGUACUCUUCAGGGAUACAGGUCUAGUACAAGAGAACUCUUUGACGGCUACUAAGGUCAGCCAGUCUUAAAAAACUGUGCUGUUUCUACAAAGCUUUAACUACAGUAGUUUUUAAGGAUGCCAACGAAAGCUGAGGGUGUAGAGCAAAAUAGUUCUAAGCUUCAGUUAAACUUCUUUAGCAUUGAUAUGAACCAUGGACAAGUAUAUUCUGCUGCCACAAAGACUGUAAAGUGCUUCAUUUCAACAGCUGAGGCAAGCCAAGUGAUCAUUAAUAAAGCUUUUCUUGGUUCCUUCAGUGGUGUUGGUAGUAAAAUGGAAGGUGUCUUGCUGCAGGUAACUAAUGAAGAAGUGGUCAACCACAGAGUCUUCAAGAAAUAAGAAAUUCUGUACCAUCUGAAAGUAGUUCUUGUUGGUGCCUUCAUUUUAAAAAAGCACUAUUUUAAGAUUAAAGGGAAAUGUUUUCUGAUAAAACAGACUUCAUUUAGUUACAGGGUCUUAAUAUAAAACAAUUACAAAUUGAGUAUUGUUUGUAAAUGAGUAAACAUCAAGUCAGCUAGAGAGAUAAAUGUUAUCAUGUUUUGAAUUAGGUUUUGUGAGUAGACAGAUUAAAAUUCUAUUUUAAAUAUAAAGUUAUAAAAUAAAUACUUUUGUAUUCAAAUACUUGGUGUAAUGUUUACACAUAAAAUGUGAAUCUUGUUCUAUGAACAUUAAGUUGUCUAAAGGAUUGCCAUCCCCUAGAUUUUUAAAGCAGUUUCACAAAGCAAAUGCAUAUUGCCAUUUUCCUUUCAAUAUUGAUAGACAAAUGAGAAAAGCAUUGUGGACAUUACUGGCUGUCCCUAAUAAAAUGCCAUUCUUUAUACACUGUA